RNAcentral lists this ribosomal RNA (638 nucleotides) under Providencia rettgeri. Its description in RNAcentral is "bacterial SSU rRNA". It matches the Rfam family "Bacterial small subunit ribosomal RNA", at positions 842 to 1480 of the family's 1533-position model. Lineage: Bacteria; Pseudomonadati; Pseudomonadota; Gammaproteobacteria; Enterobacterales; Morganellaceae. The record is from RNAcentral.
GCUUUCGGAGCUAACGCGUUAAAUCGACCGCCUGGGGAGUACGGCCGCAAGGUUAAAACUCAAAUGAAUUGACGGGGGCCCGCACAAGCGGUGGAGCAUGUGGUUUAAUUCGAUGCAACGCGAAGAACCUUACCUACUCUUGACAUCCAGAGAACUUAGCAGAGAUGCUUUGGUGCCUUCGGGAACUCUGAGACAGGUGCUGCAUGGCUGUCGUCAGCUCGUGUUGUGAAAUGUUGGGUUAAGUCCCGCAACGAGCGCAACCCUUAUCCUUUGUUGCCAGCGAUUCGGUCGGGAACUCAAAGGAGACUGCCGGUGAUAAACCGGAGGAAGGUGGGGAUGACGUCAAGUCAUCAUGGCCCUUACGAGUAGGGCUACACACGUGCUACAAUGGCGUAUACAAAGAGAAGCGACCUCGCGAGAGCAAGCGGAGCUGAUAAAGUACGUCGUAGUCCGGAUUGGAGUCUGCAACUCGACUCCAUGAAGUCGGAAUCGCUAGUAAUCGUAGAUCAGAAUGCUACGGUGAAUACGUUCCCGGGCCUUGUACACACCGCCCGUCACACCAUGGGAGUGGGUUGCAAAAGAAGUAGGUAGCUUAACCUUCGGGAGGGCGCUUACCACUUUGUGAUUCAUGACUGGGG